GGGCGAUUAGCUCAGUUGGUUUAGAGCGCUGUCUUCACACGGCAGAGGUCACUGGUUCGAAUCCAGUAUCGCCCACCA
This 78-nucleotide transfer RNA is filed under the name Candidatus Zhuqueibacterota bacterium. RNAcentral's name for it is "candidate division KSB1 bacterium tRNA-Val". It matches the Rfam family "tRNA". Rfam says of the family: Transfer RNA (tRNA) molecules are approximately 80 nucleotides in length. Their secondary structure includes four short double-helical elements and three loops (D, anti-codon, and T loops). Lineage: Bacteria; Pseudomonadati. The record is from RNAcentral.